GCCCAGACUCCUACGGGAGGCAGCAGUGGGGAAUAUUGCACAAUGGGGGAAACCCUGAUGCAGCGACGCCGCGUGGGUGAAGGGGUACUUCGGUACGUAAAGCCCUAUCAGCAGGAAAGAAAAUGACGGUACCUGACUAAGAAGCCCCGGCUAACUACGUGCCAGCAGCCGCGGUAAUACGUAGGGGGCAAGCGUUAUCCGGAUUUACUGGGUGUAAAGGGAGCGUAGACGGCAGUGCAAGUCCGGAGGGAAAGCCCGGGGCUCAACCCUGGGACUGCUCUGGAAACUGUAAAGCUGGAGUGCGGGAGGGGCAGGCGGAAUUCCUGGUGUAGCGGUGAAAUGCGUAGAUAUCAGGAGGAACACCGGUGGCGAAGGCGGCCUGCUGGACUGCAACUGACGUUGAGGCCCGAAAGCGUGGGGAGCAAACAGGAUUAGAUACCCCAGUAGU
This 448-nucleotide ribosomal RNA is filed under the name uncultured bacterium. RNAcentral describes it as "bacterial SSU rRNA". It matches the Rfam family "Bacterial small subunit ribosomal RNA", at positions 329 to 794 of the family's 1533-position model. The record is from RNAcentral.